RNAcentral lists this ribosomal RNA (1171 nucleotides) under uncultured Myroides sp. RNAcentral describes it as "bacterial SSU rRNA". It matches the Rfam family "Bacterial small subunit ribosomal RNA", at positions 38 to 1215 of the family's 1533-position model. Lineage: Bacteria; Pseudomonadati; Bacteroidota; Flavobacteriia; Flavobacteriales; Flavobacteriaceae. The record is from RNAcentral.
AGCGGCAGGCCUAACACAUGCAAGUCGAGGGGUAGAAAGAGCUUGCUUUUUUGAGACCGGCGCACGGGUGAGUAACGCGUAUGCAACCUACCUUAUACAGGGGAAUAGCCCGAAGAAAUUCGGAUUAAUGCUCCAUGGUUUAUCGAUAUGGCAUCGUAUUGAUAAUAAAGAUUUAUCGGUAUAAGAUGGGCAUGCGUAUCAUUAGCUAGUUGGUGUGGUAACGGCAUACCAAGGCAACGAUGAUUAGGGGUCCUGAGAGGGAGAUCCCCCACACUGGUACUGAGACACGGACCAGACUCCUACGGGAGGCAGCAGUGAGGAAUAUUGGUCAAUGGAGGCAACUCUGAACCAGCCAUGCCGCGUGCAGGAUGACGGUCCUAUGGAUUGUAAACUGCUUUUGUACAGGAAGAAACCUCCCUACGAGUAGGGACUUGACGGUACUGUAAGAAUAAGGAUCGGCUAACUCCGUGCCAGCAGCCGCGGUAAUACGGAGGAUCCGAGCGUUAUCCGGAAUUAUUGGGUUUAAAGGGUUCGUAGGCGGCUUUGUAAGUCAGUGGUGAAAUUUCCUAGCUUAACUAGGACACUGCCAUUGAUACUGCAGAGCUUGAAUAAUAUGGAAGUAACUAGAAUAUGUAGUGUAGCGGUGAAAUGCUUAGAUAUUACAUGGAAUACCAAUUGCGAAGGCAGGUUACUACGUAUUUAUUGACGCUGAUGAACGAAAGCGUGGGGAGCGAACAGGAUUAGAUACCCUGGUAGUCCACGCCGUAAACGAUGGAUACUAGCUGUUCGGUUUUCGGACUGAGUGGCUAAGCGAAAGUGAUAAGUAUCCCACCUGGGGAGUACGGUCGCAAGACUGAAACUCAAAGGAAUUGACGGGGGCCCGCACAAGCGGUGGAGCAUGUGGUUUAAUUCGAUGAUACGCGAGGAACCUUACCAGGGCUUAAAUGUAGAUUGACAGAUUUGGAACAGAUUUUUCUUCGGACAAUUUACAAGGUGCUGCAUGGUUGUCGUCAGCUCGUGCCGUGAGGUGUCAGGUUAAGUCCUAUAACGAGCGCAACCCCUGUUGUUAGUUGCCAGCACGUAAUGGUGGGAACUCUAGCAAGACUGCCAGUGUAACCUGUGAGGAAGGUGGGGAUGACGUCAAAUCAUCACGGCCCUUACGUCCUGGGCC